Eriocheir sinensis (Chinese mitten crab) is the source of this 949-nucleotide long non-coding RNA. RefSeq lists it as uncharacterized. The transcript is spliced from 5 exons. The record is from RefSeq and is a predicted model, not a curated record. Lineage: Eukaryota; Metazoa; Arthropoda; Malacostraca; Decapoda; Varunidae.
UUAAGCCAAGGUCCGCAAUGGUUAUCCCACCCGGGCGAUCAAGCCAAGGUCCGCAUCCCACCCAGGAGAUUAUGCCAAGGUCAGUAUCCCACCCGGGCGAUUAAGCCAAGGUCCGCAAUUAUUAUCCCACCUGGGCGAUCAAGCCAAGGUCCACAUCCCACCCGGGCGAUUAAGCCAAGGUCAGCAAUCAUUAUCCCACCCGGGCAAUCAAGCCAAGGUCCGCAUCCCACCCGAGCUAUCAAGCCAAGGGCCACAUCCCACCCCGGCAAUCAAGCUAAGGUCCGCAUCCCACCAGAGCAAUCAAGCCAAGGGCCACAUCCCACCCCGGCAAUCAAGCAAAGGUCCGCAUCCCACCCGAGCUAUCAAGCCAAGGGCCACAUCCCACCCCGGCAAUCAAGCUAAGGUCCGCAUCCCACCAGAGCAAUCAAGCCAAGGGCCACAUCCCACCCCGGCAAUCAAGCAAAGGUCCGCAUCCCACCCGAGCUAUCAAGCCAAGGGCCACAUCCCACCCCGGCAAUCAAGCAAAGGUCCGCAUCCCACCCGAGCAAUCAAGCCAAGGGCCACAUCCCACCCCGGCAAUCAAGCUAAGGUCCGCAUCCCACCAGAGCAAUCAAGCCAAGGGCCACAUCCCACCCCGGCAAUCAAGCUAAGGUCCGCAUCCCACCAGAGCAAUCAAGCCAAGGGCCAUAUCCCACCCUUGCAAUCAAGCUAAGGUCCGCAUCCCACCCGGGCAAUCAAGCCAAGGUCAACAUCCCACCCGGGCAAUCAAGCCAAGGUCAGCGAUCAUUAUCCCACCCGGGCAGUUAAGCCAAGGUCAGCAUCCCACCCGGACAGUCAAGCCAGGGUCAGCAACCCUCCCCAUUCCUCCGGGCUUGGGACCGGCUCUUAGUUGGGCUGGCUUGCCCCCCAAGAGGCUGGGUUAACAGUUUUGUUCCCCCUUUCUUCACCU